This 397-nucleotide ribosomal RNA is filed under the name uncultured bacterium. RNAcentral describes it as "partial 16S ribosomal RNA". It matches the Rfam family "Bacterial small subunit ribosomal RNA", at positions 523 to 918 of the family's 1533-position model. The record is from RNAcentral.
AUACGUAGGGGGCGAGCGUUGUCCGGAAUGACUGGGCGUAAAGGGAGUGUAGGCGGCUUUAUAAGUCUGGAGUGAAAGUCCUGGUUUCAAGGGGGGAAUUGCUUUGGAGACUGUAGAGCUUGAGUGCGGUAGAGGUAAGUGGAAUUCCAGGGGUAGCGGCGAAAUGCGUAGCGAUUUGGAGGAACCCCAGUGGCGAAGGCGGCUUACUGGGCCGUAACUGACGCUGAGGCGCGAAAGCGGGGGUAGCGAACAGGAAUAGAUACCCUGGUAUUCCACGCUGUAAACGAUGAAUGCUAGGUGUAGCAGGUAUCGACCCCUGCUGUGCCGCAGUAAACGCAAUAAGCAUUCCGCCUGGGGAGUACGGCCGCAAGGUUGAAACUCAAAUGAAUUGGCGGGG